CGGACGGGUGAGUAACGCGUGGAAAACCUGCCGUAUACUGGGGGAUAACACUUAGAAAUAGGUGCUAAUACCGCAUAAGCGCACAGCUUCGCAUGAAGCGGUGUGAAAAACUCUGGUGGUAUACGAUGGUUCUGCGUCUGAUUAGCUAGUUGGUGGGGUAAUGGCCUACCAAGGCAACGAUCAGUAGCCGGCCUGAGAGGGUGAACGGCCACAUUGGGACUGAGACACGGCCCAAACUCCUACGGAAGGCAGCAG
Molecule: ribosomal RNA, 255 nt
Filed under: uncultured bacterium
Lineage: Bacteria
Description: partial 16S ribosomal RNA
Rfam family: Bacterial small subunit ribosomal RNA
Source: RNAcentral